This 257-nucleotide unclassified non-coding RNA is filed under the name Acacia macradenia. RNAcentral describes it as "partial external transcribed spacer". Lineage: Eukaryota; Viridiplantae; Streptophyta; Magnoliopsida; Fabales; Fabaceae. The record is from RNAcentral.
UGGCUCCGUGCCCGUCCACCGAACGGUCGGCAGGCGAUCCGCGUCGGUCGCGCGAGGUGGUAUGGUUCCCCAGAGGCCGGUUCUUGUGCUGCCUACCCCUUCAGGGGAAGAGUUCCAAACUUGAUGUAAGCCUCCAUCCGGCGCCCUCCAAAGGGCGCGGGAGGACAACGGAGCACCCCCCGCGUUCCACCGAGCCUCCUCGGUCGCGUGGCCCGCGGGGACGUGCGAUGCUCUCGGACCCAGCGAACGCCGUGGGC